AUUUAAGUAGCCUAUAGAAUAGGGCGUGACAUUGAAGAUGUUCAGGAGGUAAAGAUACCCUUAAAUA
Molecule: transfer RNA, 67 nt
Filed under: Mecopoda niponensis
Lineage: Eukaryota; Metazoa; Arthropoda; Insecta; Orthoptera; Tettigoniidae
Description: tRNA-Phe
Source: RNAcentral